AGUGAACGCUGGCGGUAGGCCUAACACAUGCAAGUCGAACGGCAGCACAGUAAGAGCUUGCUCUUACGGGUGGCGAGUGGCGGACAGGUGAGGAAUACAUCGGAAUCUACUUUUUCGGGGGGGAUAACGUAGGGAAACUUACGCUAAUACCGCAUACGACCUACGGGUGAAAGCAGUGGAUCUUCGGACCUUGCGCGAUUGAAUGAGCCGAUGUCGGAUUAGCUAGUUGGCGAGGUAAAGGCCCACCAAGGCGACGAUCCGUAGCGGGUCUGAGAGGAUGAUCGGCCACACUGGAACUGAGACACGGUCCAGACUCCUACGGGAGGCAGCAGUGGGGAAUCUUGGACAAUGGGCGCAAGCCUGAUCCAGCCAUACCGCGUGGGUGAAGAAGGCCUUCGGGUUGUAAAGCCCUUUUGUUGGGAAAGAACAGCAGCAGGUUAAUACCCCGCUGUUCUGACGGUACCCAAAGAAUAAGCACCGGCUAACUUCGUG
This 492-nucleotide ribosomal RNA is filed under the name uncultured bacterium. RNAcentral describes it as "partial 16S ribosomal RNA". It matches the Rfam family "Bacterial small subunit ribosomal RNA", at positions 29 to 507 of the family's 1533-position model. The record is from RNAcentral.